GCCUCUAUCGUCUAGUGGUUCGGGAUAUCUGUCUUUCAAGCAGGCAUCGGGGAUUCGACUUCCCUUGGGGUA
Triticum urartu is the source of this 72-nucleotide non-coding RNA. Lineage: Eukaryota; Viridiplantae; Streptophyta; Magnoliopsida; Poales; Poaceae. The record is from Rfam.